AGCGAACGCUGGCGGCAGGCCUAACACAUGCAAGUCGAACGAACUCUUCGGAGUUAGUGGCGGACGGGUGAGUAACACGUGGGAACGUGCCUUUAGGUUCGGAAUAACUCAGGGAAACUUGUGCUAAUACCGAAUGUGCCCUUCGGGGGAAAGAUUUAUCGCCUUUAGGAGCGGCCCGCGUCUGAUUAGCUUGUUGGUGG
This 200-nucleotide ribosomal RNA is filed under the name uncultured bacterium. RNAcentral describes it as "partial 16S ribosomal RNA". It matches the Rfam family "Bacterial small subunit ribosomal RNA", at positions 29 to 255 of the family's 1533-position model. The record is from RNAcentral.